AGAACGAACGCUGGCGGCAGGCUUAACACAUGCAAGUCGAGCGCCCCGCAAGGGGAGCGGCAGACGGGUGAGUAACGCGUGGGAAUCUACCCAAUCCUUCGGAAUAGCUCCGGGAAACUGGAAUUAAUACCGAGUACGCCCUACGGGGGAAAGAUUUAUCGGGGUUGGAUGAGCCCGCGUUGGAUUAGCUAGUUGGUGGGGUAAUGGCCUACCAAGGCGACGAUCCAUAGCUGGUCUGAGAGGAUGAUCAGCCACACUGGGACUGAGACACGGCCCAGACUCCUACGGGAGGCAGCAGUGGGGAAUAUUGGACAAUGGGCGCAAGCCUGAUCCAGCCAUGCCGCGUGAGUGAUGAAGGCCCUAGGGUUGUAAAGCUCUUUCAGUGGGGAAGAUAAUGACGGUACCACAGAAGAAGCCCGGCUAACUUCGUGCCAGCAGCCGC
This 442-nucleotide ribosomal RNA is filed under the name uncultured bacterium. RNAcentral describes it as "SSU rRNA". It matches the Rfam family "Bacterial small subunit ribosomal RNA", at positions 26 to 518 of the family's 1533-position model. The record is from RNAcentral.